This is a long non-coding RNA of Nycticebus coucang (slow loris), 426 nucleotides long. RefSeq lists it as uncharacterized. The transcript has 3 exons. The record is from RefSeq and is a predicted model, not a curated record. Lineage: Eukaryota; Metazoa; Chordata; Mammalia; Primates; Lorisidae.
CAGAGCAGGGGGAGUGCCCCUGCCGGACCUGGACCCGGGGAUCCUCUGGGAUGAAUGAAGUGGUACCCUGAGAACUGCGCAGAACCCCAAACUACUCCUAAAGGGGCACAGUCCACUGCACCCUGGAACGUUACUCAGUCUCAUAUGUGCUCCUUGAGUGUUUACCUCCGUGUAGCUGACUAGGCUAAGUGGACAGCAAUAUACUCCUUUACACAGGUUCCCCCCAACAUGUUUUAAUAAGCUUCCUUAUCAGACUGAGCUCUUACCGGCCAGGCCCUCUGCACAUGGUUAAAUCCUCUACCCUGAGGCUCCAGGUGUGUGAAUGAACACUUGAAUAAAAGGCAAAAGCUGGUGAUGCCCAGCUACAUGGACCGCAACUUGACACAGUCACCUGUAUAAAAUCAGGAUCAGAUCAUUGCUGUUACG